AUUCAACUGACUAGUCCCAAAUAAGACGAGACGCGAUUUCUGAAU
Molecule: non-coding RNA, 45 nt
Filed under: Schistosoma margrebowiei
Lineage: Eukaryota; Metazoa; Platyhelminthes; Trematoda; Strigeidida; Schistosomatidae
Source: RNAcentral